This is a long non-coding RNA of Triticum dicoccoides, 616 nucleotides long. RefSeq lists it as uncharacterized. Lineage: Eukaryota; Viridiplantae; Streptophyta; Magnoliopsida; Poales; Poaceae. The transcript has 3 exons. The record is from RefSeq and is a predicted model, not a curated record.
CUCUGUUUAGUGCCAUUAUUGUUGUUGAACAAUUACUUUCUUUUUAGGAUUCUUGCUGGAGGAGAUGAACUUUUAUGGUGUGUUUUUUCCCCUGUAUGCGUCGCUUCAGAUCAGGCUGAUGCUGUUGUUAUUAUGGAUGAGCUGUUGAAGGCCAAGGUUUUCCUUGUGAGAAUGCCAUAGGUACAAGAAAAGAUUGCCUGAAAGGUCUUUAUGGUUUAUUCUGCAAGGUUAGAGGCCUGCUGAGGCUAGCGUGAGGUCUGCUAUGGCAUCGAUGAUCUGGGUGUCAUGACUGUGAGGACUGCUCGCGCCUCUCCGCUCACAAACCGUGUGACAGAGUAAAUACUCUGGUCCACAACAAUUAGACCUUCCUCCCUCUCAGCUAUGGUAUUGCAGCACAACAAUCUCCUUCCACCUUCAUUUGUUGGGCUAGAGCGUUAGAAGACAUUCUAAUUUUCUAGCUAUAUUUUGCAAUGUUAGACUGGUCAAAUGUGUUUGUAUAUGGUCGCAGUGGCGUGAGCUUUUUCAUUACUUGAUCUGUUUAUUCAAACUCAAUUUUUCUGUUGUUGUGGAGAGGAGGAUCAUCUGCUCUUUCAUACAUAUUUAUUACCUUCACUAU